GGGGCUUGCAUGGGAGCGCCAGGCGCACCCAGAAACCCUUUGUGAACUUAUACCUUACUGUUGCCUCGGCGCAUGCCGGCCCCCCUGGGGGCCCCUCCUUCUGGAGGAGCAGGCACGCCGGCGGCCAACCCAACUCUUGUUUUUACACUGAAACUCUGAGAAUAAAACAUAAAUGAAUCAAAACUUUCAACAACGGAUCUCUUGGUUCUGGCAUCGAUGAAGAACGCAGCGAAAUGCGAUAAGUAAUGUGAAUUGCAGAAUUCAGUGAAUCAUCGAAUCUUUGAACGCACAUUGCGCCCUCUGGUAUUCCGGAGGGCAUGCCUGUUCGAGCGUCAUUUCAACCCUCAAGCCUGGCUUGGUGAUGGGGCACUGCUUUUACCCAAAAGCAGGCCCUGAAAUUCAGUGGCGAGCUCGCCAGGACCCCGAGCGCAGUAGUUAAACCCUCGCUUUGGAAGGCCCUGGCGGUGCCCUGCCGUUAAACCCCCAACUUCUGAAAAUUUGACCUCGGAUCAGGUAGGAAUACCCGCUGAACUUAAGCAUAUCAAUAAGCGGAGGAA
Molecule: ribosomal RNA, 557 nt
Filed under: Diaporthe nobilis
Lineage: Eukaryota; Fungi; Ascomycota; Sordariomycetes; Diaporthales; Diaporthaceae
Description: eukaryotic LSU rRNA
Rfam family: 5.8S ribosomal RNA (bases 182-335)
Source: RNAcentral